Molecule: ribosomal RNA, 1978 nt
Filed under: Triticum aestivum (bread wheat)
Lineage: Eukaryota; Viridiplantae; Streptophyta; Magnoliopsida; Poales; Poaceae
Description: partial small subunit ribosomal RNA
Source: RNAcentral
GUAGCGGGGUUGUUCUACUUCGCUUUUAUGCACGUAUAACUUGUAUAUUUCCUGUUCGUUCACGCGGGUUGAUCGCCGUGGUAGGUGCAGAGGAAAAUAAGCGGUGACAUCGUUGCGCCUCUCUCUGUUCAGGGCUCGCGGGGUAGAGGGGAGGAGAGCGGAGAAGGUAGCGGAGGAGGGGAGAGGAGAGAGAGAGGCAGAGGAGGGAGAGUUGGGAUCGGCGGUGGUGGGUGGGAGAUGACGAGGUGGUGCGUGGGUGGAGGGGAGACCUAGUCGACGUCUGGCCGACCACGCGCGUCCGCCGCCGCGAGGUGAGUUCCCGUUUCCCUCCGUUGCCGCCGCCACCAGGGACGUCCUUUUCAUACUGCCGCCACCGCGAGCUAAGUUAGACAUCAUCUCUCUCCACCUUCUUUAUCUCUCCUUUAUCCUCUCCCUCCACGCCGCUGCCCUCCCUCUCGCAGUGGCCGCCAUCUAAGGGGUCGGGGCAGGACCUCGACCCCGGCACCCGUGCCGGACGCAAACCGCUCCUUCCCGCUCGCGUCGCCACUUGACUCGAGGAAGGGGCCGGGGAGAACCCACGCCGGACGCAAACCGCUCCCGCCCGCUCGCCUCGCCGCCCGACUCGAGGCAGGAGUCGGGGAGAAGUAGUGCUUCUUAAACUAUGUAUACUAGGAUUCCUCUUAUCAAGCGAUGAUGGAAUCAACUCCUUCGCCAGACUUUAAUAGCUCUAUCAACCUCGGGCACUAUAAUAGAAACGAAAUCGUGUCGACCCUCAUACACGACGCAAGUCAUCUCACUGUUUGGUUGUCUAAACGAAAGACUUACCUUCAGGUCUACUUCAGUAGGCAUCGAAGAAAAUAUUGUUCUUGUUACUGAGCGAAUAUUGGCAUAGUCAAGUACCAAGACGUUUAAAGUCACGAAAUUCUACGUCCUGUUGAGCUUAACUCAUAUAUGCGGCACCUUUCAGUCUACGACCAAAGGGAGAAAAACUCUGUCUUAGCAGCUCCACCGGUCCAAAGCACCACAAACUACUACAUUUGCCUUUCCACGGCUGAAUGAGACGAGUUCUGUCUACUGAGUCACUACAGGAAUGGUAGAACCGAUACCAGACCUCUAGAACCCAUAGAGCGACUACAGUAGAUAGGGUCCAACCACUUUAAUGUUGUUUAGACCUCGACAACGAAAGUACGACUACUCCCCGCGUCUUGAUUGAAUUCCUACACAGCAACAGAGACGUUUCCCUCAAAAACGAACCACGCAGUGAGAUAAGCCUCUACGUUGCAGCACAAACGGACCCAUCCAAAAAUGGAAAGUAUACCAGUAACAACGGAGUACGAAAAGAGUCUCUCCCAAAAUAGACAUGACGGCAGAGAGGAGAAGCAUCACGACGAUACGCAUGACGGUGAGCCGCUGAAAAAAGAGAUAAAGAAAAAACGAAAGAAACCCGUACCAGCACAACAACGGGGCCGGUAGAAUCAACGAAGCGAUGAAACCGGUCCAACAUACCUACAAACGAAAUAGAUAUUUCGCCCCACUUUCGGAUAAAACUCUUCCAAAAUAGACAUCGGACGUUGGAAACUCGCAAGAAUUGAUGUGACUAAACAUACCGCUAUUGGUUCAUUGCUACAUUGUAAUGACCGUCCGCCAUCCUUUAAUCGAAAGAAACAGCUCUUCGAACUCUAGACUAAAAUACAGGACAGUCUAACAGGACAAGUAGAAGGAAUACAAAACGUCUAUUAAGUCCUCGUCGGUUGUAAGAAACAAAACGACUUUCAUACACACCCACACUUUUACACAUACCAAAAUACAAGACUAUAUGUGUGUUGGUCAUUCUACACAGGAAACAAAAGUCCGAGUCAACACACAAAGGAUACGGAGAGAACACGAGUAACAUUGGUGCACUAACCAAGUCUGAUAUAUUACGAUACAUACUUGCAUGGAUUUAUAUAAAGUAAUACGAAGUUCUAAAAUACUGGCU